GCAUAGGUUUGGAUUUAUGGCAGGCCGGUCCCCUUGGGUCUCUCAUAGUGUCCCAUGCCAGAGCAAACUGUGGCCCCCAAACCAUUUCCUGGCCUCUGCCUGUAGGCUGCUGGCACUGAAGAGGGUUGCACAGUG
Molecule: small nucleolar RNA, 135 nt
Organism: Ictidomys tridecemlineatus (thirteen-lined ground squirrel)
Lineage: Eukaryota; Metazoa; Chordata; Mammalia; Rodentia; Sciuridae
Source: Ensembl